CCCUUAGAUGUUCUGGGCUGCACACGUGCUACACUGGCAGGUUCAGCGAGCUUCAUGCCCUGAUCUGAAAGGAAUGGGAAAUCUUUUCAAAACCUGCCGUGCUUGGGAUAGAUGUUUGCAAUUAUUCAUCUUCAACGAGGAUUGCCUUGUAAGCGCACGUCAUCAGCGUGCAUUGGAUACGACCCUGUAUUCUGUACACACCGCCCGUCGCUCCUACCGAUUGAAGUUUUCGGUGAGUUGACAGGAGGAUUUUUUUGAAACUGGUUCGCCAGUGGAUUUUAGAUCCAAAUGCCAACGAAUCGAUGGCUUUAGAGGAAGGAGAAGUCGUAACA
RNAcentral lists this ribosomal RNA (332 nucleotides) under uncultured eukaryote. RNAcentral's name for it is "partial 18S ribosomal RNA". It matches the Rfam family "Eukaryotic small subunit ribosomal RNA", at positions 1470 to 1796 of the family's 1831-position model. The record is from RNAcentral.